UACAGAGGGUGCAAGCGUUAAUCGGAUUUACUGGGCGUAAAGCGCGCGUAGGUGGUUCAGUAAGUUGGAUGUGAAAUCCCCGGGCGCAACCUGGGAACUGCAUCCAAAACUGCUGAGCUAGAGUACGGUAGAGGGUGGUGGAAUUUCCUGUGUAGCGGUGAAAUGCGUAGAUAUAGGAAGGAACACCAGUGGCGAAGGCGACCACCUGGACUGAUACUGACACUGAGGUGCGAAAGCGUGGGGAGCAAACAGG
RNAcentral lists this ribosomal RNA (253 nucleotides) under uncultured bacterium. RNAcentral describes it as "partial 16S ribosomal RNA". It matches the Rfam family "Bacterial small subunit ribosomal RNA", at positions 524 to 776 of the family's 1533-position model. The record is from RNAcentral.